This 491-nucleotide ribosomal RNA is filed under the name uncultured organism. RNAcentral describes it as "bacterial SSU rRNA". It matches the Rfam family "Bacterial small subunit ribosomal RNA", at positions 28 to 507 of the family's 1533-position model. The record is from RNAcentral.
GACGAACGCUGGCGGCGUGCCUAACACAUGCAAGUCGAACGGAAAACAUAGCAAUAUGUUUUUAGUGGCGAACGGGUGAGUAACGCGUAGACAACCAACCUUUUUGUGGGGGACAACACUUCGAAAGGAGUGCUAAUACCGCAUACGCUCCAGAUGCCGCCUGGCAUUUGGAGGAAAGGAGCUGUAAGGCUUCGCAAAAAGACGGGUCUGCGUCUGAUUAGCUAGUUGGAGGGGUAACGGCCCACCAAGGCGACGAUCAGUAGCCGGUCUGAGAGGAUGGACGGCCACACUGGGACUGAGACACGGCCCAGACUCCUACGGGAGGCAGCAGUGGGGAAUCUUCCGCAAUGGACGAAAGUCUGACGGAGCGACGCCGCGUGAGUGAUGAAGGCCCUUGGGUCGUAAAGCUCUGUCAUCAGGGACGAACGGUCACGUCAGGAAAUGGGCGUGAAUUGACGGUACCUGAGAAGGAAGCCACGGCUAACUACGUG